Paramuricea clavata is the source of this 455-nucleotide non-coding RNA. The record is from the annotation of a GenBank genome assembly. Lineage: Eukaryota; Metazoa; Cnidaria; Anthozoa; Malacalcyonacea; Plexauridae.
ACUUUUGUUGUCCAUUUUGGUGCUGGAUUUGUUUUCACUAAUAUUCUUUUACUUUUUAAAACAUCAUUUUCUAAGCAUCUAAAAGAUGUAAAAUCUCCAAUGGGUCAUUCCAGAAACGACCCACACUGUGUGAGGUUUUAUAUCAAAUAUAGCAUUUCUCUACUGAAUGUUAUUGUCGAUUUUAGAUUACUUUUCAAAGCGCAGUUCCCAAGUUUGUUGUCAACUUGUCAAUUACAUUCCCAAAUUCGGAAGUUGGGCGGGAACUUCGCAACAAAUUUCGCAAGUGCAUUUCAAAGUUUGAACUUCGAUUGUAAACAAAUGUAAAAAUUUCAUUUAUAAACUUAUUUAAAAAGGCAUUUUCAUCUUGGGAGAACACUGGACCAAUAUUUUACUGCAGUAAUAUGUGCAUUGCUUAUACAGUAAUUUCAAUUCCAACUAUGAACAUUUGUUUACAA